Molecule: unclassified non-coding RNA, 218 nt
Filed under: uncultured fungus
Lineage: Eukaryota; Fungi
Description: sequence contains ITS1
Source: RNAcentral
CCAGUGCCGCCGGCACGGGCCCUCUGGGCCUGCGUCGGUCUGAGCUCCACCCGUGAAUACUGAACCUCAUGUUGCCUCGGCGGGCCCGCCGCCCAGCGGCCGUCGGGGGGUCCCCAGGGCGGUGUCUUCGCUGCCUUGGCCCCCGGGCCCGCGCCCGCCGACGGAUACUGAACUUCUGAUGGAACUAAUGGGCUGUCUGAGUGAUUGUCAAAUCGUUA